UAGGUGGAUUCAUCUGCCAGUGUUCGCAUCACAGAAGAUUUUACUUGUGUAAGAAGUGGUGAAAUAAGUCCUUACAUUGAAGGCAAAGAUCAUUCUUCCCCUUGUCCUCUUGCAGUUGCAGCAGUGUCUAGCAAAGUUGCAUCCUCUGCUGUAGCAGUUUAAAGAUGGAGGUCUCACUGAAACCAGAAGUUUUCAAUGCUCCAAGCCAGAGCUUCACAUCUUGUCAUGAUAUGCUCAUUCUCCCUGCCUUGAAAUAAAGACUUGCUCUAAUGGAAUCAUGUUGGUGUCUGAAUGUCACAAGGGAGAGAAAUCUGUGUAAAGGUAUUAUUGAAGGAAGCAGGUGUCUACACCACAGAAAAUGAUAAUAGCUGCUGGUGGGAGUACUUGACAGAAACUGAAGACUCACACACUUCAGGUCUUAAAGCUGCUUUUGUAGAACUGUCAUGCUGUCCUGGAAGAAAGCAAACAAUUGAGAGGGUGUCUAUGUGAUGGUUCUCAAAGCUCAACCAAGAGAGAAAAAUAGCCAAGGUAAGCUACAAGAGAUCUUAAAGGAUGUGAUCAAGUGAAAGAAAAAGAAAUUCUGUGUCUUGGCUAUGACUAUUAGAAGAAAAUGAGUUGCUAUUUUUAGCAUCAUAGCCUGUGAAGAAACUUUGUUUCAUCCAGCUGUGCUACAUCCCAAAUACUGUGGUUGGUAACACCAUGGUAAGAGAGAGUGAUCCUCUGCCCUGCAAUUGUGCUACGCUAUGGAGAAGCACACAGCAAGCCAGCAAGUGCUAAUGAGGAAGAAAAAAUUCUGAGCUUCAUCCUAAAGGAAUGUCAGUGUUUCUUAACUGAGGAAAUUAUCAAUUUUUUUCCCAUUCCCCAGUACUUGAGGUUGUUAAUCAUUUAAUAUUUUAAUGAGGAAAAUAGUCUGAUGUCACGAUUGUGAGAGUCCCUGUAGUUGUAAGUUCUUAUUUUAAAAAGCAUAGUUAAAGAUUAUUUUAAUGAAAAGCAAAUUAUAUCUCAGCUAUAAUAACCCAAAUUCUAUAGCUAUAAAUUUUCUAACUUUUUUACAUGAAAUACAGCCUUAUCUUUCUCAUAUCUCAUCAGUGAAGGAUAAAAUGCUGGCAGGUCAUACGGCUAGUCACAUCUUGGAGGUUUCUGUAUUUUUUAUAUUGUACAGGGGUGUGAAUGAAGUGAAAAUUUAAUGACCACUUGUCUUCUACCCUGUAAAAUUUGCUGGGGAUUUUGAGGUUUCAAGCUCUGGAGUAUAUGAAUAAUUUCCAAAUCUGUCAUAUCUGUAGUGGUAAUUGGCUGCAGAAUUUUUUUAGCUUUUAUGAAAGCUUCCCAAGAUUCCCAUCAGUCUAGACAUGGAAAUAAAUCAGACUAGGUUUAACUUUCAUAUUUAAGAAUUUCUAUUCAUGAGUUAAAAAAGCAGGGCUCAAUGUAAAAUUAAAAAAGAGAAUCUGUUUCUGCAGCUAACUGUUCUUUUAAAUUAUUUGUUUUUAAAAAUAUUUCACCUUUUUUAGAAACACACUGAACAUUUUUUGUGCUGAACUGUACUUUCCGUAAUUAAAAAAAAGCUGUAAUGCUGCAUAAAAAUUAUGAUAUUUCAGUAGAUUUAAUUGAGCUAUCUAUGCUUUCCAGAAGUGCUUCCCUACUUUUUCAGGGCAUAGUGAACCGUUAGAGGGGUAAUGUUAGAGCACCAAUAAUAAUGCUGUUUUGAUGUGUAUCUGGUUUAGUUUUGUUUUUUUUU
Long non-coding RNA from Pseudopipra pipra, 1735 nucleotides. RefSeq lists it as uncharacterized. The transcript has 3 exons. NCBI's taxonomy places the organism in Eukaryota, Metazoa, Chordata, Aves, Passeriformes, Pipridae. The record is from RefSeq and is a predicted model, not a curated record.